Molecule: transfer RNA, 76 nt
Filed under: Candidatus Saccharimonadota bacterium
Lineage: Bacteria; Candidatus Saccharimonadota
Description: tRNA-Met
Rfam family: tRNA
About the family: Transfer RNA (tRNA) molecules are approximately 80 nucleotides in length. Their secondary structure includes four short double-helical elements and three loops (D, anti-codon, and T loops).
Source: RNAcentral
GGGGCUGUAGCUCAGCGGUUAGAGCAGUCGGCUCAUAACCGAUUGGUCGCUGGUUCGAUCCCAGCCAGCCCCACCA